Molecule: ribosomal RNA, 253 nt
Filed under: uncultured bacterium
Lineage: Bacteria
Description: partial 16S ribosomal RNA
Rfam family: Bacterial small subunit ribosomal RNA
Source: RNAcentral
UACGAAGGGGGCUAGCGUUGUUCGGAUUUACUGGGCGUAAAGCGCACGUAGGCGGAUUGGUCAGUUAGGGGUGAAAUCCCAGAGCUCAACUCUGGAACUGCCUUUAAUACUGCCAAUCUAGAGUCCGGAAGAGGUAAGUGGAACUCCUAGUGUAGAGGUGGAAUUCGUAGAUAUUAGGAAGAACACCAGUGGCGAAGGCGGCUUCCUGGACCGGUUCUGACACUGAGGAGCGAAAGCGUGGGGAGCGAUCCGG